ACAAGCGGUGAGCAUGUGGUUAAUUCGAUGAUACGCGGGAACCUUACCUGGGCUCAAAUGUAUGUUGACGUAUUCUGAAAGGGAUACUUCUUCGGACAAUAUACAAGGUGCUGCAUGGUUGUCGUCAGCUCGUGCCGUGAGGUGUCGGGUUAAGUCCCAUAACGAGCGCAACCCCUAUCAUUAGUUGCCAUCAGGUCAAGCUGGGGACUCUAAAGGAACUGCCUACGCAAGUAGUGAGGAAGGCGGGGAUGACGUCAAAUCAGCACGGCCCUUACGUCCAGGGCUACACACGUGCUACAAUGGCCGAUACAGAGGGCAGCUACCUGGUGACAGGAUGCAAAUCUCCAAAGUCGGUCUCAGUUCGGAUCGGAGUCUGCAACCCGACUCCGUGAAGUUGGAUUCGCUAGUAAUCGCGCAUCAGCCAUGGCGCGGUGAAUACGUUCCCGGGCCUU
This 452-nucleotide ribosomal RNA is filed under the name uncultured Sphingobacteriales bacterium. RNAcentral describes it as "bacterial SSU rRNA". It matches the Rfam family "Bacterial small subunit ribosomal RNA", at positions 925 to 1382 of the family's 1533-position model. Lineage: Bacteria; Pseudomonadati; Bacteroidota; Sphingobacteriia; Sphingobacteriales. The record is from RNAcentral.